GGGCUCGAAGAUAUUGGUUUGCGAAUAACUUCGACAGCUGAUUUCUUUCUUCUUCUACAAGUACCUUGGAUACUCCAAAGUGAUAGGAGAUCAGGAGGAAAAAGAGAGAAGGAGGAGAAGAGGCUCUGAAAAUAAAAAAUCUACAAGAGAAUUGAUUAUGGGAUGUCCAAGAGAGGGGUCCCUUUUUUAUAGACUAGGAAUUGG
This 204-nucleotide long non-coding RNA is filed under the name Elaeis guineensis (African oil palm). RNAcentral describes it as "long non-coding RNA (EGUI_LNC075940)". The record is from RNAcentral. Lineage: Eukaryota; Viridiplantae; Streptophyta; Magnoliopsida; Arecales; Arecaceae.